RNAcentral lists this microRNA precursor (195 nucleotides) under Oryza brachyantha (malo sina). RNAcentral describes it as "MIR812 microRNA precursor family". It matches the Rfam family "MIR812 microRNA precursor family". The record is from Rfam by way of RNAcentral. Lineage: Eukaryota; Viridiplantae; Streptophyta; Magnoliopsida; Poales; Poaceae.
UUCAACCUCUGCAAUGGUACUGUGUGCUCAUACCAUGUUUUAACUCUUCGUUUUAUUUGAAUUUUUUUACAAUUAAUAUUUUUAUUCUUACUAGAUGAUAAAAUACGAAUAAUACUCUAUGUGUGACUAAUUUUCUAAGUUUUCGUUCAAAUUUUUCAAAUAAGACAAAUGAUCAAACGUUGGGUACGGAAAAAC